AUGGCGUCCGCGUCGCCGUCGUGGGUCAUCCUGGGCCGCGUGGCCAAGGUGUCCGCCGCCGACGCCGAUCUUCCUCCGGGCGCCGACCUCUCCCUCGCGCUGCCGGCGCCGCCGCGCGUCGCGCUCCUCACCAUCCCCCCGCGCAUCUUCCCGGGCCAAACCACCUCCGACAACUUCCCCUCCGUCCUCACCGUCGACCGCUCCGGCCUCCUCCUCCUCCACGCCUCCCAGAGCCCCGCCGCGGGCCCCGCCGUCAUCGACCUCCCCGGCCGCCAGGAGGUCUGCUGGCGCCCAUUCGUCGCGGGCUACUUCGUCCUCGACUCCAAAUCCGCCUCGGCCUUCCCGCUCCCCAACCCCGAGCGCAUCAUGAACCCGGGCCGCCUCGGCCUCAUCGCCUCCCACGAGGGCGCAGGCCGCUACAUGGUCGCUGAGCUCCAGCCGAUCGCCGGCGGCGAGCAAGCCGACCUCCUCUGCUUCUCGUCGCAAUCCGGGCAGUGGGACAGGAAGACCGUCGCCUACCCGCUUCCGUCCCGCUCCCGCCCCUUGACCCCCAACGGCGUGGUCUCGCACUCCGGGAGGCUCUGGUGGGUCGACCUCUCCUGGGGCCUCAUCACCUGCGACCCCUUCGCGGACGCGCCUGUGCUGAGCUUCGUCCCACUCCCGCCGCGCAAGGCGCUCAAGUACGGGGAAGAUUGUGCAGUGCUCGACAAGUACUGCCGCGUGGCUGUCAGCCGGGGCAAGCUCCGGUUCGUGGACAUGUACAAGAACCGUAGCAGCUUUGGCUCUGCACAGAUCAGCGUGUGGACGCUCGCCGAUCCGGACUCCACCGAGUGGACGCUGGAGUAUGAAGCGACCUUCUCGGAGAUCUUUAAUGAUGUGAGCUUCAAGGCGACUCGUCUGACAAGGCAGCUCCCGGUGCUGGCGCUCAUCCAUCCCAGGGACCCCGACGUGGUCUACUUCUUCCUGGACAGACACCUGUUCAGCGUCGACGUGCCUGACCGCAGGGUCGUGCAGUGCGAGCUCUACGAGCUGGUUGAGGAGCUAUCCGGCAAAAGCAUCGCCACCCGUUUCGUUCACGCUUGGAGGCUGCCACCGGCUCUCCGCUCAGCUGCGGAUGCCGUUUUGGAGAAGGAAAACGCGGAAGGAAAUCAAGAAAUCGUUGAUGCCGCUGCAUCUCAACUAGCCAAACUGAAGUUGAAAUCGGUGGCGGCGACACGCCUGAGUCCAAGCGGCGUAGGCUAG
Molecule: ribosomal RNA, 1242 nt
Filed under: Triticum aestivum (bread wheat)
Lineage: Eukaryota; Viridiplantae; Streptophyta; Magnoliopsida; Poales; Poaceae
Description: partial small subunit ribosomal RNA
Source: RNAcentral